This 164-nucleotide ribosomal RNA is filed under the name uncultured bacterium. RNAcentral's name for it is "partial 16S rRNA". It matches the Rfam family "Bacterial small subunit ribosomal RNA", at positions 355 to 511 of the family's 1533-position model. The record is from RNAcentral.
UAGGGAAUCUUCCACAAUGGGCGAAAGCCUGACGGAGCAACGCCGCGUGUGUGAUGAAGGGUUUCGGCUCGUAAAACACUGUUGUAAGAGAAGAAUGACAUUGAGAGUAACUGUUCAAUGUGUGACGGUAUCUUACCAGAAAGGAACGGCUAAAUACGUACCAG